ACGAACGCUGGCGGCAUGCCUAACACAUGCAAGUCGAACGAUCCCUUCGGGGAUAGUGGCGCGCGGGUGCGUAACGCGUGGGAACCUGCCCUUAGGUUCGGAAUAACUCAGAGAAAUUUGAGCUAAUACCGGAUAAUGUCUUCGGACCAAAGAUUUAUCGCCUUUGGAUGGGCCCGCGUUGGAUUAGCUAGUUGGUGGGGUAAAGGCCUACCAAGGCGACGAUCCAUAGCUGGUCUGAGAGGAUGAUCAGCCACACUGGGACUGAGACACGGCCCAGACUCCUACGGGAGGCAGCAGUGGGGAAUAUUGGACAAUGGGCGAAAGCCUGAUCCAGCAAUGCCGCGUGAGUGAUGAAGGCCUUAGGGUUGUAAAGCUCUUUUACCCGGGAUGAUAAUGACAGUACCGGGAGAAUAAGCCCCGGCUAACUCCGUG
RNAcentral lists this ribosomal RNA (432 nucleotides) under uncultured bacterium. Its description in RNAcentral is "partial 16S ribosomal RNA". It matches the Rfam family "Bacterial small subunit ribosomal RNA", at positions 29 to 507 of the family's 1533-position model. The record is from RNAcentral.